CCUACGGGUGGCAGCAGCAAGGGAUCGUGCACAAUGGGCGAAAGCCUGAUGCCGCGACGCCGCGUGAGGGAUGACGGCUUUCGAGUUGUAAACCUCUUUUCUCAGGGAAGAGCGAGGACGUCACCUGAGGAAUAAGUCACGGCUAACUACGUGCCAGCAGCCGCGGUAAUACGUAGGUGGCAAGCGUUGUCCGGAAUUACUGGGCGUAAAGGGUCCGUAGGCGGUUUGGUAAGUCUUCUGUGAAAGCUCCAGGCUCAACUUGGAGUCGUCGGGGGAAACUGCUGAACUAGAGACUGUCAGAGGCAGGUGGAAUUCCCGGUGUAGUGGUGAAAUACGUAGAUAUCGGGAGGAACACCAGUGGCGAAAGCGGCCUGCUGGGGCAGUUCUGACGCUAAGGGACUAAAGCGUGGGGAGCGAACCGGAUUAGAUACCCGGG
This 436-nucleotide ribosomal RNA is filed under the name uncultured bacterium. Its description in RNAcentral is "bacterial SSU rRNA". It matches the Rfam family "Bacterial small subunit ribosomal RNA", at positions 338 to 790 of the family's 1533-position model. The record is from RNAcentral.